UACGUAGGGUGCGAGCGUUAAUCGGAAUUACUGGGCGUAAAGGGUGCGCAGGCGGUUUUGUAAGUCAGAUGUGAAAUCCCCGGGCUUAACCUGGGAACUGCGUUUGAAACUACAAGACUAGAGUGUAGCAGAGGGGGGUGGAAUUCCAUGUGUAGCAGUGAAAUGCGUAGAGAUAUGGAAGAACACCGAUGGCGAAGGCAGCCCCCUGGGCUAACACUGACGCUCAGGCACGAAAGCGUGGGGAGCAAACAGG
This 253-nucleotide non-coding RNA is filed under the name uncultured Gammaproteobacteria bacterium. Its description in RNAcentral is "contains 16S-23S intergenic spacer region". It matches the Rfam family "Bacterial small subunit ribosomal RNA", at positions 524 to 776 of the family's 1533-position model. Lineage: Bacteria; Pseudomonadati; Pseudomonadota; Gammaproteobacteria. RNAcentral also lists the same sequence under 1 other name. The record is from RNAcentral.